This 744-nucleotide ribosomal RNA is filed under the name uncultured bacterium. RNAcentral's name for it is "bacterial SSU rRNA". It matches the Rfam family "Bacterial small subunit ribosomal RNA", at positions 94 to 863 of the family's 1533-position model. The record is from RNAcentral.
AGCGGCGGACGGGUGAGUAACGCGUGAGCAAUCUGCCCUGUGGAGGGGGAUAGCCUCUGGAAACGGAGAUUAAUACCGCAUAAAACUGCGAUACCGCAUGGUGAUGCAGUCAAAACUACGGUGCCACAGGAUGAGCUCGCGUCUCAUUAGCUAGUUGGUGGGGUAAAAGCCUACCAAGGCGACGAUGAGUAGCCGACCUGAGAGGGUGAUCGGCCACACUGGAACUGAGACACGGUCCAGACUCCUACGGGAGGCAGCAGUGGGGAAUAUUGCGCAAUGGGGGAAACCCUGACGCAGCAACGCCGCGUGAGUGAUGAAGGCUUUCGAGUCGUAAAACUCUGUCUUCGGGGAAGAUAAUGACGGUACCCGAGGAGGAAGCCCCGGCUAACUACGUGCCAGCAGCCGCGGUAAUACGUAGGGGGCAAGCGUUGUCCGGAAUCACUGGGCGUAAAGGGCGCGUAGGCGGUUUGUUAAGUCAGGUGUGAAAGUUUUCAGCUUAACUGGAAAAGUGCACUUGAAACUAACUUACUUGAGUACUGGAGAGGUAAGCGGAAUUCCUAGUGUAGCGGUGAAAUGCGUAGAUAUUAGGAAGAACACCGGUGGCGAAGGCGGCUUACUGGACAGAGACUGACGCUGAGGCGCGAAAGCGUGGGGAGCGAACAGGAUUAGAUACCCUGGUAGUCCACGCCGUAAACGAUGAGUAUUAGGUGUUGCCGAGAGGCAGUGCCGCAGUUAACACAAUAA